GAUGAACGCUAGCGGGAGGCCUAACACAUGCAAGCCGAGCGGUAUUGUUUCUUCGGAAAUGAGAGAGCGGCGUACGGGUGCGGAACACGUGUGCAACCUGCCUUUAUCUGGGGGAUAGCCUUUCGAAAGGAAGAUUAAUACUCCAUAACAUAUUGAUUGGCAUCAAUUAAUAUUGAAAGCUCCGGCGGAUAGAGAUGGGCACGCGCAAGAUUAGCUAGUUGGUGAGGUAACGGCUCACCAAGGCGAUGAUCUUUAGGGGGCCUGAGAGGGUGAUCCCCCACACUGGUACUGAGACACGGACCAGACUCCUACGGGAGGCAGCAGUGAGGAAUAUUGGUCAAUGGGUGCAAGCCUGAACCAGCCAUCCCGCGUGAAGGACGACUGCCCUAUGGGUUGUAAACUUCUUUUGUAUAGGGAUAAACCUACCCUCGUGAGGGUAGCUGAAGGUACUAUACGAAUAAGCACCGGCUAACUCCGUGCCAGCAGCCGCGGUAAUACGGAGGGUGCAAGCGUUAUCCGGAUUUAUUGGGUUUAAAGGGUCCGUAGGCGGACUUAUAAGUCAGUGGUGAAAGCCUGUCGCUUAACGAUAGAACUGCCAUUGAUACUGUAAGUCUUGAGUAUAUUUGAGGUAGCUGGAAUAAGUAGUGUAGCGGUGAAAUGCAUAGAUAUUACUUAGAACACCAAUUGCGAAGGCAGGUUACCAAGAUAUAACUGACGCUGAGGGACGAAAGCGUGGGGAGCGAACAGGAUUAGAUACCCUGGUAGUCCACGCCGUAAACGAUGCUAACUCGUUUUUGGGCUUUAGGGUUCAGGGACCAAGCGAAAGUGAUAAGUUAGCCACCUGGGGAGUACGCUCGCAAGAGUGAAACUCAAAGGAAUUGGCGGGGGCCCGCACAAGCGGUGGAUUAUGUGGUUUAAUUCGAUGAUACGCGAGGAACCUUACCAAGACUUAAAUGGGAAUUGACAGCUUUAGAAAUAGAGCUUUCUUCGGACAAUUUUCAAGGUGCUGCAUGGUUGUCGUCAGCUCGUGCCGUGAGGUGUUGGGUUAAGUCCUGCAACGAGCGCAACCCCUGUCACUAGUUGCCAUCAUUCAGUUGGGGACUCUAGUGAGACUGCCUACGCAAGUAGAGAGGAAGGUGGGGAUGACGUCAAAUCAUCACGGCCCUUACGUCUUGGGCCACACACGUAAUACAAUGGCCGGUACAGAGGGCAGCUACACAGCGAUGUGAUGCAAAUCUCGAAAGCCGGUCUCAGUUCGGAUUGGAGUCUGCAACUCGACUCUAUGAAGCUGGAAUCGCUAGUAAUCGCGCAUCAGCCAUGGCGCGGUGAAUACGUUCCCGGGCCU
This 1345-nucleotide ribosomal RNA is filed under the name uncultured bacterium. Its description in RNAcentral is "bacterial SSU rRNA". It matches the Rfam family "Bacterial small subunit ribosomal RNA", at positions 28 to 1381 of the family's 1533-position model. The record is from RNAcentral.